CGCGGGGCAUGGCCAGACUCCGCGAGGGCGAGGCGAGGAGGCAGCCGCCGCCGCUCCCGCCCGCCCCGCCGCCGCCGCGCCGAGCCUCCCCCAUGAGCAGCAGCGGCGGCGCGGAGCCCCCCGCGCAGCCCGGCAGCAUGAAGGACCUGGACGCCAUCAAGCUCUUCGUGGGGCAGAUCCCGCGCAACCUGGAGGAGAAGGACCUCAAGCCGCUCUUCGAGCAGUUCGGCAAGAUCUACGAGCUCACCGUGCUCAAGGACCGCUACACCGGCAUGCACAAGGGUUGUGCAUUCCUCACAUACUGUGCCAGAGACUCUGCCAUCAAAGCCCAGACAGCAUUACAUGAACAGAAGACUUUGCCAGGGAUGGCACGCCCGAUUCAGGUGAAACCCGCAGACAGCGAGAGCCGUGGAGGUAGGGACAGGAAGCUCUUUGUGGGCAUGUUAAAUAAGCAGCAGUCUGAGGAUGACGUGCUCCGGCUCUUUGAACCGUUUGGGGUCAUUGAUGAAUGUACAGUGCUGCGUGGACCUGAUGGUAACAGCAAAGGCUGUGCUUUUGUAAAGUUCUCAUCUCAUACAGAGGCUCAGGCAGCAAUCCACGCACUCCAUGGCAGCCAGACAAUGCCCGGCGCCUCCUCCAGUCUAGUGGUGAAGUUUGCUGACACAGAUAAGGAGAGGACCCUCCGUCGUAUGCAGCAAAUGGUGGGGCAGCUGGGGAUAUUCACUCCAUCUCUCACCUUGCCGUUCAGCCCAUACAGCGCCUAUGCGCAGGCUCUGAUGCAGCAGCAGACGACCGUCCUCUCCACCUCCCACGGCAGCUACGUGAGUCCUGGCGUCGCCUUUUCCCCGUGCCACAUCCAGCAGAUUGGUGCCGUCAGUCUCAACGGGCUGCCAGCCACUCCUGUUGCACAGACAUCAGGGCUACAUUCACCUCCUCUCCUGGGAACAACAGGUGUGCCCGGACUGGUGGCACCCAUUUCAAAUGGAUUUACUAGUGUGGUACCAUUCCCAAAUGGCCACCCAACCUUGGAAACGGUUUACACCAGUGGCUUUGUACCAUACUCAGCCCAGAGUCCUUCGGUAGCAGAGACUUUGCACCCAGCCUUUACAGGAGUUCAGCAGUAUGCAGCUGUGUAUCCAACCACCUCCAUCACUCCCAUCGCUCAGAGCAUCCCUCAGCCACCUCCCAUUCUGCAGCAGCAGCAACGUGAAGGUCCUGAAGGCUGCAAUCUCUUCAUCUACCAUCUCCCUCAGGAGUUUGGAGACAAUGAAUUGAUGCAGAUGUUCCUACCCUUUGGCAAUAUCAUCUCCUCCAAGGUGUUCAUGGAUCGUGCCACCAACCAGAGCAAAUGUUUUGGUUUUGUAAGCUUUGACAACCCAUCCAGUGCACAAACUGCUAUCCAGGCCAUGAAUGGCUUCCAGAUUGGCAUGAAACGUUUGAAGGUCCAGUUGAAACGACCCAAGGAUGCUAAUCAUCCCUACUGAAAGGAGUGAACAAUCAGGAGUCACUUCUGCAGCACAGGUCUGUUCUCACCUGUUGCAUGUGCCCUGAAAUUUGCCUGGAGACAGUGCUUCAAGGGUAAGAAGGGACAAUCCCAUGACUCGUAAGGAUCACAGAAAAACUGUUCAGAAGACAAUUACCUCCCGAUGCAGUCACACGAUGAUUUUCUGCUUUGUUCAGGGCAGUCCUAGUACAGCAGUUAACCACAGAGAAACCAAGUGCUCCUGUCUCAGGUGGGGACAAUAAUCUAGAAUUGGGGCAAGAGAGGGUCAUAUCUGGAAAUAGUUCAGUGUACUCAUGACAGCUAGCUCCUAUUUCUUUUAUUUCCUGUGAAAUUAAGGCCUAUGGAAAGAGUCUGGAGCACAGCUAAGCCUGUAUUGUGGUCUGCAGUGCCUAUCCCCAUGGCUACACAGCUGCACUCAAUGGUUGCUACAAUGUCAGCUGAGCCUUGAGCGAUCUGUUCAUCCUUCUCUGGUAGCCACAUCAUCAAGAGAUGCUUAUGAGCCCCAGGUGAUGCUCUGAAGGGCCACAGAAGAGCUGCCUAAUGUGAGAGCUGGCUGUCAUAGAGCUAGUUCCUGUGAGCCAACAGACUGGGAGCAAGGGAGGGCCGAUCUUGAUCCCAUCUAAUUGGGGUCAUCUUCCUCCACAUUUAAGCAGCAGCAACUCAAAGCCGGGGGUUUGCAUAGAUGUCCUCCUAAUCUCCCAGUUCCCCCCCUCCUCCCUUUCUAUUCAGGUGAAGGGAAAGCCAUAGGAAGAAUUUAUGCUUCGAAUUGAUUUACAGACAGGCCUGUCAAUUUAUCAACUCUUUUGAUGCCACCUCUUUCCUUCUUCUGCUCCCCACUUACUCACCCCAUCCUCCUUCUGCCCUCCUUCCUAAAACCAUGGAAAUUAAAGAGAAGAAUCAGUAUCUGCCCAGCAGGAAGAUUCUUGCCACGACAGACUCACGUAUUUGCUGCUAGUGUGGUGCAUAGCAAAAGGGACCAGAAAAUGAGCAGCCCCUGGGAACCCUAAGCUCUUCCUCUUGGGAUGUGCUUGGAGUGCAUGGACCAAGAAAACCCACUGUGACUCACAGGACCAAAUUUUUCCAUUCAGAGACUGACUCCUUGCAAGAGGGGUUGGAAGCUAAGGGUUUACCUCUGCAGCAGUGUCUUCUCAGGAAGCACUGCCAAUAGACCUGAACAUUUUGAGAGAAUGCCUGGAUGGACAGAGAGCAAGAGAGAGAGCACAUCUCUCUACUCAACAUUAACAAGAAGCAAGGAGAAAGAGAACCACAUACCUCCAGGAUUAGGGCACAGCCAGCUGCUCAGCUCAAGUCACUCACCCACCAACCUUAGCACCAGCCUGGUUAAGGAUCUCAAGAGCUUCUGUCUUACCCUUCCAAGGGCUUCUGCAGACCAAGCUCCUGGAAUUUGGUGCCAAAGCCUAUCGUGAGCACUCCUCAAUUAGGCUGAAAGCACAGGAAAUCAACCCUUUUACCUACAAGAACUGUAUUGCCUCCCCACACAUUGUACUGGCCCAACUUCAUAGCUCUUUGUGGUAACAGGGCAUUUUUUUGAUCAAGAGAGAAGAUGAAAGUGUGAGCAAGUGCCAUCUCCAAAAUAGUGACAAAAACCUCCCAGGGGCCACGCGCUGCCUCCACGUAUUGGAAGUGGCCUAAAGCUGGCUAGCAGGCAUUUCUGAUUCACAGACCACACAGGACAUAUUCUCCAUCUGAAUUUAGCAAGCAGACUCACCUCUUGCACCCUCUGCAAAGCUUUCACAGACACAAGGAUAGUAUGUUGAAAGGUGGUUGUCAUUCUUUUUUUCCCCACCACUCCCUCCAAGGGACAGAUUAUGCAGAAUAUAUAUACACACACAUAUAUAUACAUACACUUAAGCACAGAACAUAGUUCAGAGCUUAACAAAGUUCCCUGAGCGUGUGUGUGUGGGGGGCAUACUGACAAGGCAAAACCCUUUAAUGACUUCAAACAGUCUAAAAUAAGGAGGAAAGGAGGAAGAAAAAAAAAAAAAAACCCACCCUCCUGAAUAAUUAGCUUCAUUAUUCCAGAAUUUGAUAAGGUAUCAAGAACAUUCCUGUGUGUAUGUAUGUGCAUGUCUGUGUUCAAAUGUGAACAGAGGGUUGGUGGAGAAAGGUUGAUGCGAUUGAUCCUGAAGAGAGAUCCAGGGACUUGAGAGGACCUCGGCCACUUCUCAUCCUCCUCCAGUUUCCCUUUGUUCAGAUGUCUGUGGCAUAGUUCUUCAAGUACCUUCACAUCUCCUGAACCACCCCUCUGUAUCUAAUGCUGAGAGUUUACAAGAGAGAUGGAUGAAGCUGUGGGAGUCUGUGUGUUUCUAUAGUCCAUGUUUACUUAUUGUAAAUACCAUUUUUAUACUUAACAUCUAUUAUGUAUGUGAUUUGUAUAAUGUACUUUAUUUCUGCUACAAUUAAUUUCAUGAAGUUUAAACUUAACCUAAUUUUGAACAAAAAAGAAAAUGACCAACAAAUGCAAAAUGGGAAGGAAAAAAAAAAAAGGGGGGAUUUUGGAAAUGCUAGGUCACGCUCGUUUAAAACAAGCAUUUACAAUUUCUUCCAUCACAGUUACUGAUGUGACUGUACACUGUUACAGGUGUGAUACAAGCUUCAUCAAUGUCAAAUUCCUUGCUCUGGUCUAAAAAAAUCUUAAAUUUAUUUAAUAAAAGUUUUACUUCCUAAG
This is an RNA transcript of Cygnus olor (mute swan), 4193 nucleotides long. It is a transcript of the gene named CUGBP Elav-like family member 5, with no coding region annotated. NCBI's taxonomy places the organism in Eukaryota, Metazoa, Chordata, Aves, Anseriformes, Anatidae. The transcript is spliced from 14 exons. The record is from RefSeq and is a predicted model, not a curated record.